AGCCGGAUGGUGAAGUGGUAUCACACCUUACUCACAAGGCCGGUGAGGGGGUGGGUUGGUCGCGGCAGCAAACCAAUGAUCCGGGGGGCGUAAGGAGAUCGGGGGUUCGAUCCCCUCUUCGGCUG
RNAcentral lists this transfer RNA (125 nucleotides) under Zymoseptoria tritici IPO323. Its description in RNAcentral is "Zymoseptoria tritici tRNA-Val for anticodon CAC". It matches the Rfam family "tRNA". Rfam says of the family: Transfer RNA (tRNA) molecules are approximately 80 nucleotides in length. RNAcentral also lists the same sequence under 1 other name. The record is from Rfam by way of RNAcentral. Lineage: Eukaryota; Fungi; Ascomycota; Dothideomycetes; Mycosphaerellales; Mycosphaerellaceae.